This 465-nucleotide ribosomal RNA is filed under the name Vreelandella stevensii. RNAcentral's name for it is "partial 16S ribosomal RNA". It matches the Rfam family "Bacterial small subunit ribosomal RNA", at positions 338 to 795 of the family's 1533-position model. Lineage: Bacteria; Pseudomonadati; Pseudomonadota; Gammaproteobacteria; Oceanospirillales; Halomonadaceae. The record is from RNAcentral.
CCUACGGGUGGCAGCAGUGGGGAAUAUUGGACAAUGGGCGAAAGCCUGAUCCAGCCAUGCCGCGUGUGUGAAGAAGGCCUUCUGGUUGUAAAGCACUUUCAGUGGGGAAGAAAGCCUUGGGGCUAAUACCCUCGAGGAAGGACAUCACCCACAGAAGAAGCACCGGCUAACUCCGUGCCAGCAGCCGCGGUAAUACGGAGGGUGCGAGCGUUAAUCGGAAUUACUGGGCGUAAAGCGCGCGUAGGCGGUCUGAUAAGCCGGUUGUGAAAGCCCCGGGCUCAACCUGGGAACGGCAUCCGGAACUGUCAGGCUAGAGUGCAGGAGAGGAAGGUAGAAUUCCCGGUGUAGCGGUGAAAUGCGUAGAGAUCGGGAGGAAUACCAGUGGCGAAGGCGGCCUUCUGGACUGACACUGACGCUGAGGUGCGAAAGCGUGGGUAGCAAACAGGAUUAGAUACCCUAGUAGUC